GCAGUGGUGGUUCAGUGGGUGAAUACUUGACUUCCAUGUGGAAGACCCAGGUUCAGUUCCUGGCCAGUGCA
This 71-nucleotide transfer RNA is filed under the name Loxodonta africana (African savanna elephant). It matches the Rfam family "tRNA". From Rfam's summary of the family: Transfer RNA (tRNA) molecules are approximately 80 nucleotides in length. The record is from Rfam by way of RNAcentral. Lineage: Eukaryota; Metazoa; Chordata; Mammalia; Proboscidea; Elephantidae.